Molecule: ribosomal RNA, 227 nt
Filed under: uncultured Acanthamoeba
Lineage: Eukaryota; Discosea; Longamoebia; Acanthamoebidae
Description: partial 18S ribosomal RNA
Rfam family: Eukaryotic small subunit ribosomal RNA
Source: RNAcentral
CUCAUUAAACCAGUUAUAGUUUAUUUGAUGGUCUCUUUGUUCUUCUUUUUACCUACUUGGAUAACCGUGGUAAUUCUAGAGCUAAUACAUGCACAAGGUCCCGAGCGCGGAGAGUAGGACUUCACGGUUCUAUUCUUGCAUGCGUAGCGGGAUGUAUUUAUUAGGUUAAACAACCAGCAUCUUCAUCAUCUGGUGAUUCAUAGUAGCUCUUUCGGAUCGCAUUCAUG